RNAcentral lists this ribosomal RNA (352 nucleotides) under uncultured Gigaspora. RNAcentral describes it as "SSU rRNA". It matches the Rfam family "Eukaryotic small subunit ribosomal RNA", at positions 569 to 928 of the family's 1831-position model. Lineage: Eukaryota; Fungi; Glomeromycota; Glomeromycetes; Diversisporales; Gigasporaceae. The record is from RNAcentral.
AGCAGCCGCGGUAAUUCCAGCUCCAAUAGCGUAUAUUAAAGUUGUUGCAGUUAAAAAGCUCGUAGUUGAAUUUCGGGGUUCUACCAUUGGUCGGGCAAUAGUCUGUACUGGUGUGUAGAACUUCUACCUUCUGGGGAACUAUCAUGUUAUUUAUUUAGCGUGGUAGGAAACCAGGACCUUUACCUUGAAAAAAUUAGAGUGUUCAAAGCAGGCUUACGUCUGAAUACAUUAGCAUGGAAUAAUAAAAUAGGAUGGUGGUCCUGUUUUGUUGGUUUCUGAAUCACCGUAAUGAUUAAUAGGGAUAGUUGGGGGCAUUAGUAUUCAAUUGUCAGAGGUGAAAUUCUUAGAUUUA